This is a long non-coding RNA of Humulus lupulus (European hop), 1389 nucleotides long. RefSeq lists it as uncharacterized. NCBI's taxonomy places the organism in Eukaryota, Viridiplantae, Streptophyta, Magnoliopsida, Rosales, Cannabaceae. The record is from RefSeq and is a predicted model, not a curated record. The transcript has 3 exons.
UGGAGUCUAUUUUUAACAUCGAGGAAUAUAUUUGGAGAUUAGUUAGGUAUCGGGAAUUAAGUGGUAAAUAUUUAAGACACUUGAGGAAUUAGUGGGAAUCGGGAGCAAUGACUAAAAUGCCCUUAGAAUGUUUAAAGGUUUAGUUAUUAUUGGGAGGGCAAGGUGGUCAUUUGGCUUACUUAAGGUUAGGCUAUAUUCUGCUUUUUGAUGUUAGUGGAGGUUGUAGAUAAAACUUAGAAACUUAAGGAAAAGAAAAGAAGAAGGAAAGAAAGAAAAACAGAACACUUAGAGUUAUCUCACUCUCUCUCAUUCGGCUGGGUCAUCUCUUCACCAUUCCUUGUGGGUUUUGGAGCUGGAAUUCUAGAGCAAGCUCAGGAUGGAGCUUAGGGCUAGGGACUUUGGUGAAGCUUGAAGAACUAGCAGAAUUAAGCCAGUCAAUUGAGGUAAGUUUUAAGGUUUUCUGAUGUGAAUUUCUGGGUUUUAAUGAGAUAGUUUUUAAGUUUGAGUUUUGGAUGGAAUAAAGGGAUAUGAACCUGAGGAGUUGAAGGGCUUGAAGCUGGUUGGAUGCUAGAACGAUUCUACAGCCGAGGUGCUAAGCUAGGGCUCGGGGAUCGGAUCGCGCUCAAGGAACAUCGCUUAUAUCUAGCUCGUUUGAAAGCCAAAGGUAAAGGCAAGGGUAGGCUGAAUCAACCAUGAGUUGGAGAGCUCUGGGGGCGAGGUGUACAUUGUCAGCUGCUCGGCCGCCACGGUCGAGGAAUUGUACAGGGACGGAAACCUAAAAUGUAUAUUUUUCCAUUAGAGUGGCUUGAAUUAUUUGUAGCUCUUGGAAUUUGUUAUAACUAAGACGUCUAAAUCCUGUUUCAAGUUUCCAUGUAUCAAACUGUCAUUUUUAAUGAAAACAGCCUGUUUGUGACCAAAAUCUUUUAUUCCUAACCUGUUGAUGACAUUGAAUUCACACUUUGUUUAAACGACUUGACUAGCAAGUCUUGCACUAUUUAAAACACACAGUGUAACGGUCUUGGUUAUCCAGGGCGUUACAACUUGGUAUCAGAGCCGUCUGGGUUUAUGGGUUCCUGAAGAUUAGCUGGACAUGUACACUCGCCGCUAAAGACAAGCUCGAAUCAAGGGUUUGUAGUGGAAUACAUGAAAUUGUAUGCUUAAGUGCUUGAAUAAAAUGUGGGUGUAUUAAUUUGUAUGAUUAAUAGGGAGCAUGAGAUACUGAUAGGGCCUGGCCCUUGACUGCUGUGUGAUGCUAUUAAGGCAUGUUGUUUAGUAUUGCUCUUGCAUGUGGAUGAAUACAUGGAUAAUGAUGUUAUAUGGAUUGUGGGUUAUUAUAUGUUAAAAGUGAACUUAUAUGAUAUACCUGUUUAUUGGCAUGGAGGGCAUAAA